This is a long non-coding RNA of Diorhabda carinulata, 502 nucleotides long. RefSeq lists it as uncharacterized. The transcript has 3 exons. NCBI's taxonomy places the organism in Eukaryota, Metazoa, Arthropoda, Insecta, Coleoptera, Chrysomelidae. The record is from RefSeq and is a predicted model, not a curated record.
UGAGACCAGUUUUUUUAUUUUUCAAUUUUUGUAAUAUCACGAGUUUCUUCUUUAUAUUUUGUUUGGAAUACUUCGUUUUUUAAAUUAUUUAUCGAAAACAAACAAUGAAGCCCAUUGUUAGAAGACGUAUAUACGUAUGAGAACAAUAAGAGGGGCAGAAGAUUUGGAACGUCCACACUGAACAACCCAAAUGACGAAUUGGAUUUCAAAAAGAAUAAAAGGAUAACAAUAAGAUGAUUAUUGGAGUUUUUUAGACAAUGAAGAUCAGAAAUAAUAUUAAUUACUCAACAACAACCAGGCAGGGUCAGUAAUUGCUCCAAAUAAUGUGCAAUAUUAGUUUUUUGAACAAAAAAGUUUUCAAAAAAUGUUAAUUACUAACAACAACCAGAUAGGGUCAGUCAUUGCAGAUACCAAUUUUCAGAUCCCUGGAAAAUACCCCGAAUAAUGUUGUGGGUUUCGACUAAUCACAACAAUUCGGCGAAGGCACCGCCUUUGAUGAAAC